RNAcentral lists this ribosomal RNA (522 nucleotides) under Conoderus sp. UPOL 001417. Its description in RNAcentral is "partial 16S ribosomal RNA". It matches the Rfam family "Bacterial large subunit ribosomal RNA", at positions 1822 to 2610 of the family's 2925-position model. Lineage: Eukaryota; Metazoa; Arthropoda; Insecta; Coleoptera; Elateridae. The record is from RNAcentral.
CAUGUCCUUUUGAAAAUUAUUUAAGGUCUAAUCUGCUCAAUGAGGAAUUAAAUUGCCGCGGUAUCUUGACCGUGCGAAGGUAGCAUAAUAAUUAGUUUUUUUAUUGAAAGCUGGAAUGAAUGAUUGGACGAGAAAACAGCUGUCUCUGUUUAAAUUUUUUUUGAAUUUAACUUUUGAGUAAAAAGGCUCAAAUUUAUCUUAAAGACGAGAAGACCCUAUAGAGUUUAACAUUUUAGCGUUAAAGAGUUUUUGGUAUUAGUUAUUUUUAUUGUGAAAGGUGUUUGGUUGGGGUGGCUAGAAGAUUUGAUAAACUCUUCUAAAUUUUUGUUACUGAUUAGUAAUUUUAAAAUCUGGAUUUUCCAAGUUUAAUAUAAAUUACCUUAGGGAUAACAGCGUUAUUUCUCUUUAAAGUUCUUAUUGGAAGGGAAGUUUGCGACCUCGAUGUUGGAUUAAAGUUAAUGCUGGGUGCAGUAGCUCAGUUAUUAGGUCUGUUCGACCUUUAAAACUUUACAUGAUCUGAGU